UACGAAGGGGGCUAGCGUUGUUCGGAAUUACUGGGCGUAAAGCGCAUGUAGGCGGAUAUUUAAGUCAGGGGUGAAAUCCCGCAGCUCAACUGCGGAACUGCCUUUGAUACUGGGUAUCUUGAGUAUGGAAGAGGUGAGUGGAAUUCCGAGUGUAGAGGUGAAAUUCGUAGAUAUUUGGAGGAACACCAGUGGCGAAGGCGGCUCACUGGUCCAUUACUGACGCUGAGGUGCGAAAGCGUGGGGAGCAAACAGG
This 253-nucleotide ribosomal RNA is filed under the name uncultured bacterium. RNAcentral's name for it is "partial 16S ribosomal RNA". It matches the Rfam family "Bacterial small subunit ribosomal RNA", at positions 524 to 776 of the family's 1533-position model. The record is from RNAcentral.